UGGGGAAUUUUGGACAAUGGGCGAAAGCCUGAUCCAGCAAUGCCGCGUGUGUGAAGAAGGCCUUCGGGUUGUAAAGCACUUUUGUCCGGAAAGAAAUCCUUGGCUCUAAUACAGUCGGGGGAUGACGGUACCGGAAGAAUAAGCACCGGCUAACUACGUGCCAGCAGCCGCGGUAAUACGUAGGGUGCAAGCGUUAAUCGGAAUUACUGGGCGUAAAGCGUGCGCAGGCGGUUUGCUAAGACCGAUGUGAAAUCCCCGGGCCCAACCUGGGAACUGCAUUGGUGACUGGCAGGCUAGAGUAUGGCAGAGGGGGGUAGAAUUCCACGUNUAGCAGUGAAAUGCGUAGAGAUGUGGAGGAAUACCGAUGGCGAAGGCAGCCCCCUGGGCCAAUACUGACGCUCAUGCACGAAAGCGUGGGGGAGCAAACAGGAUUAGAUACCCU
This 442-nucleotide ribosomal RNA is filed under the name uncultured bacterium. RNAcentral's name for it is "partial 16S ribosomal RNA". It matches the Rfam family "Bacterial small subunit ribosomal RNA", at positions 355 to 788 of the family's 1533-position model. The record is from RNAcentral.